GGAAUUCAAUUAAGUUAUUUAAAUUUAGAGUUAAUAAAUAAAAAAAUAAAAUAAAAUAAAAAAAUAAAUUAACAAUAAGUAAUCACAAUUAAAUAAUCUAGGAGAAUAAAGGAGAAGAUGAAUUUAGGCCCUUUUUGGGCCAAAUUCGUUGCUGAUUUGGGCUUCUUAGAUCAAUUCCCGUUUUUGUAUACAUCUGAUGUAUAUCAGUGUAUAUCGGAUGUAUACAACCCAUUUUUCUGCAAUCCAAGACCUGUUUCAGCUUCCACUUUCUUCGGACAUUGACGGGGCUGACUCGAGGGGAAUUCAAUUCAACGAAAUGCUGGGAUGGAGUCCGAAAUAGACUCGAACGAAUGUCACAUGUAUCAAAAUAAGGGUAAAGAAAUUAAUGGAGGGUUUUGAACAAUUCACAUAUGCAAUUAAGUCUUCAACUAGAAAUAAUCAUGAUAUAGCUAAUUCAAGAUAUCUAUAGUUUACUACAAGCGUAAAAAAUAUAAAAAAAUAAUAAUAAGCAUAUGAAGUAUCACUAAUGCCCACCACAUGAUAUACUACAUAUGACUUCCAAUGAUUUCAUGUUGACAAAUUAGCAAACAACCACAUACUUAGCCAUAUGUAGAAUAGACAGAAGGAAAUUACUCAUGCUAUAAUUGUAAGCCAUACAAAACCAGAAAAGUUCAUAUGAUUAUAUAAAAAGAAAAAAAAAACAGAGAGCGGGAAAUAUUGCCAAAAAUGCAAAGCUAAAGUUUUGUAGAGGUUGAUCAUAUACUUAGCUAAGCCAAUCUUGAAUAGAUUUAGACCAUAACAAAAGCAUACUAAUACCACAAAAUAAAAAGACAUAGUUUUUUUUACAAAAAAAUAAUUAAAAAAAAAAAAAAAAAAAUUUCAAGACCAUGAGCAUAUAAAUCAUAGACUAGACGAGAAUAGAGAUUAGAUUAGAUUAAUCUAGUGUUGUCAAGAGCUUACGACAAUAAAUCAUUUUUAAAAGCCAAAAGUUGAAAUGUCAUGAUGAAUUAGUAACCAACCUUAUGACAAGGUCAAGGAUUUCGGACAAGCUCAACAUACAACAAAAGAAAAACUCGAAACAGAGUGGGAAUCGAACAAAGAAACCCAAACUAGGUACAUGACUUCUAAAACGGAAAAUAAAAGGAGAGGUAUUACCUUUUUCCAAGCAGCGACUGGAAUCGACGAGCUUGACUAUGAAGCAGCUUCCACACCAAAAGAAGAGAUGAACUUCGAGAAUUCUGAUGAACUUCGCUAAAAGCUUCGGAUGAGACAAAAGAGAAAUUCCAAGAAAUCUAGACCUAACUUUAUGGUUUUUGAUAAUAUCGAUACUAUAUUCAUCAAUUUAAAAUUACGACUUCCAAAAUUCCUCUUCUCUUUUCCCCCCACCCCCAUACUAAAGAAAAAUGGAGGUUUAUAUAAAGGGAAUUU
This 1428-nucleotide long non-coding RNA is filed under the name Solanum tuberosum (potato). RNAcentral's name for it is "long non-coding RNA (STUB_LNC001869)". The record is from RNAcentral. Lineage: Eukaryota; Viridiplantae; Streptophyta; Magnoliopsida; Solanales; Solanaceae.